This 93-nucleotide non-coding RNA is filed under the name bovine gut metagenome. RNAcentral's name for it is "TPP riboswitch (THI element)". It matches the Rfam family "TPP riboswitch aptamer (THI element)", at positions 10 to 89 of the family's 105-position model. Rfam says of the family: Vitamin B(1) in its active form thiamin pyrophosphate (TPP) is an essential coenzyme that is synthesised by coupling of pyrimidine and thiazole moieties in bacteria. The previously detected thiamin-regulatory element, thi box was extended, resulting in a new, highly conserved RNA secondary structure, the THI element, which is widely distributed in eubacteria and also occurs in some archaea. Analysis of operon structures identified a large number of new candidate thiamin-regulated genes, mostly transporters, in various prokaryotic organisms. The record is from RNAcentral.
UGACACGGGGAGCCGGGCCAGCCGGCUGAGAGGACGCAACCACGCGCGUCGACCCGCAAAACCUGAUCCGGACCAUGCCGGCGGAGGGAUUCG